This 214-nucleotide long non-coding RNA is filed under the name Brassica rapa (field mustard). RNAcentral describes it as "long non-coding RNA (BRAP_LNC003474)". The record is from RNAcentral. Lineage: Eukaryota; Viridiplantae; Streptophyta; Magnoliopsida; Brassicales; Brassicaceae.
GCAUUUUUGAUUAUGUAUCUACACUUAAAUGUUACACAUGAGGCCAGUGGCGGACCCAUGAUAUAUUUUUACCUAGGUCAUAACUUUUAUUUAAACCCAAACUAUAACAAAAGCACAAACAGAAGCAUGGAUUUUUUUUUAAAAAGGGGUGCAGGAAGCGGUAUUCGAACCCAGGAAAGGAGUGUCAGAGGAGGAAAUACAUAGCCAAUUGUGC